RNAcentral lists this non-coding RNA (694 nucleotides) under Pongo abelii (Sumatran orangutan). Lineage: Eukaryota; Metazoa; Chordata; Mammalia; Primates; Hominidae. The record is from RNAcentral.
GGCAGGGAGAGGAAAACACGCGCGCGCACACACGGUGAUAUCUUGCGGGUGAUGAAUAUGAUAAUUGGACAAGGGACGAGAGAACCAUUCUCUGCUUUCAAUAGGACAGAAGAGCUCCUUGGCACUGGAUGCCUCCGGGUCUGGUUGAGAGAGGAAUGGUUAGGAGAUUGUUCUGAGGAUAUGCAGACAUCAUCCAAAGCUUCCUACAUUCAGAUGAGGACAGAGGUUGGGCUAGAGCUUUGUAUGCUUGUUACCUAAGUAUGGUUCUGACCAUGUAAGCAGAUCACAGAAGCUAUUCACAGAUCAUCAUCAGCCAGAGGUGACUUCUGUUGCUUGCAGCUCAGAAUCCUAGAUGUUUCUGGUGGCACUGAAGAGCCUCUGCCGAAGCUCUAUACCAUUUGCCAUGUACAAAGGGAAAUGAAAUAAUAACGCCGACCAUUUGUGGAGCACAUUCUGUCUGGAGGCAAAUAAUGCCAAGAUGGGAAAGCCACAUAAUGGAAGGAUCCCAGAUUUCAGAGCUGUCACUUGGAGGAGGGGCACACAGUGAAGGUGUCUAUCUAACCCACACCAUAUCUUCAUGAAGUGGCCAUAUGGAUUUGAUCCCUAUCCUUCAGAGGUGCUCAGCCUAAGGGAACAUGGGUAGAAGAUUAAGCACUGACCAGAGCCAGCCUUGACAAUGUGCUGAUGGCAACCU